GCCGCUAUGGUGAAUCGGU
Molecule: transfer RNA, 19 nt
Filed under: Sciodaphyllum pittieri
Lineage: Eukaryota; Viridiplantae; Streptophyta; Magnoliopsida; Apiales; Araliaceae
Description: partial tRNA-Leu
Source: RNAcentral